UGAACGCUGGCGGCGUGCCUAAUACAUGCAAGUCGAGCGAACAGACGAGGAGCUUGCUCCUCUGACGUUAGCGGCGGACGGGUGAGUAACACGUGGAUAACCUACCUAUAGACUGGGAUAACUUCGGGAAACCGGAGCUAAUACCGGAUAAUAUAUUGAACCGCAUGGUUCAAUAGUGAAAGACGGUUUUGCUGUCACUUAUAGAUGGAUCCGCGCCGCAUUAGCUAGUUGGUAAGGUAACGGCUUACCAAGGCAACGAUGCGUAGCCGACCUGAGAGGGUGAUCGGCCACACUGGAACUGAGACACGGUCCAGACUCCUACGGGAGGCAGCAGUAGGGAAUCUUCCGCAAAGGGCGAAAGCCUGACGGAGCAACGCCGCGUGAGUGAUGAAGGUCUUCGGAUCGUAAAACUCUGUUAUUAGGGAAGAACAAAUGUGUAAGUAACUAUGCACGUCUUGACGGUACCUAAUCAGAAAGCCACGGCUAACUACGUG
Molecule: ribosomal RNA, 494 nt
Filed under: uncultured bacterium
Lineage: Bacteria
Description: partial 16S ribosomal RNA
Rfam family: Bacterial small subunit ribosomal RNA
Source: RNAcentral